CCGCCCUGGCCGCCGGGGGCCCCGGAGCGUCUGCGCGCGGUGGGCGCCUCGCCCCUCCGCCCUCUCUGUUCCGGGAAGCCCCGUCCGAGGGGACGCGCGCCGUCGUGACGCGCGGUGGCCGGAGCGGGGGCGCUCUCCUCCGCCCGGGUCGUGGAGGAAAACGUGUUCGCCGCGAGCCUACUUAACGCCAAGCACAGUUGCACGGGUGCCCCAUUAACGACGGCAGAGACAGCAGUCCUCUCUCCUGGGACUUGCAGUGCUUGAGGAGACAGACAAUUGUUGGGAAAAAUAGGAAAAUGUCAGGGCCCCUCGGAUGUUCAGAACCUUGUCGAGCAUUUGCUGUAAAUGUCCUCAGGUGUGCCUGUUACUGCUUAAGAAUAAAGUUCAAACUCCUGAGAGUGGCAUUCACAGCGUUUCCAUCUAGCUUUGCCUGUCUUCCCAAUACUCCUGGUCUCCCGACACAUCCGUCAGUCGUGAAGCGUGGUGUGGGUCCUCGAACACAGUACAUUCUUUCUUGACUGAUUUUGCACAUGCUGUUGCUUCUGUUUGGAAUGCCCAUUUUUCCUUCUGUGCCUGACCAACAUUUUGUGUGAUUCAGCUAAAAAAUUCACCUCUUCUGUGGCCUACUAUUGCCACCUUUUCCCUCUCUGAACCUUUUAACACUUUGCAUGCACAAUGGAGUAUGUUAGAUUAUCAUAAAGGUUAUUAUGCGAUUUUCUGAGUUUGAUUCCUUCAACAGCCCUCCACAUAAAAGAUUUUUCAAGAGCACGGGCCACUUUUUUGGUUCUAGUACCUGAUUCAAUAAACAUUUUAUAUUUGUGUGUGCAUGUGUAUAAAUAACCAUGCAAUAAUUUAAGUCAUAUUCUAGGUACAGUGUAGAGGAUUAAAAACUGUAUAGACUAUAUACUGUAUGGUUCCAACCAUGUGACUUUCUAGAAAAGGCAAAACUAUGGCGACAGUUAAAGGAUCGGUGGCUGCCAGGGGUGGGGGAGAGAAAGGGAAGAAUAGGUGGAGCACAGAGGAUUUUUAGGGCAGUGAAACUACUCUGUAUGAUACUAUAAUGGUGGAUUUAUGUCAUUAAACAAACCCUCAGAACCACACCAAGAGUGAACCCUAAUGUAAACUUACAGACUUUGGGUGAUGUUGAUGUGUAAGUGUAUAAAUGUAUCAAUUAUAACAAAUAUACUACUCUGGCAGGGGAAAUUGAUAAUGGGGGAUCAGGGGAUGUAUAAAAAUCUCUCUACCUUCCUCUCAAUUUUGCUGUAAACCUAAAAGCGUUUUGAAAAAUAAAGCCUAUUUUAACAAAACAA
Molecule: long non-coding RNA, 1310 nt
Organism: Cynocephalus volans (Philippine flying lemur)
Lineage: Eukaryota; Metazoa; Chordata; Mammalia; Dermoptera; Cynocephalidae
Exons: 3
Source: RefSeq, a predicted model, not a curated record